GACGAACGCUGGCGGCGUGCCUAAUACAUGCAAGUCGAGCGGAGCUUAUCCUUCGGGGUAAGCUUAGCGGCGGACGGGUGAGUAACACGUAGGCAACCUGCCCCUUAGCCUGGGAUAACUACCGGAAACGGUAGCUAAUACCGGAUAAUUUCUUUUUUCUCCUGAAGAGAGAAUGAAAGGCGGAGCAAUCUGCCAUUAAGGGAUGGGCCUGCGGCGCAUUAGCUAGUUGGUGGGGUGACGGCUCACCAAGGCGACGAUGCGUAGCCGACCUGAGAGGGGGACCGGCCACACUGGAACUGAGACACGGCCCAGGCUCCUACGGGAGGCAGAAGUAGGGAAUCUUCCGCAAUGGGCGAAAGCCUGACGGAGCAACGCCGCGUGAGUGAUGAAGGUUUUCGGAUCGUAAAGCUCUGUUGCCAGGGAAGAACGUCCGGUAGAGUAACUGCUACCGGAGUGACGGUACCUGAGAAGAAAGCCCCGGCUAACUACGUGCCAGCAGCCGCCGUAA
RNAcentral lists this ribosomal RNA (508 nucleotides) under uncultured bacterium. RNAcentral's name for it is "partial 16S ribosomal RNA". It matches the Rfam family "Bacterial small subunit ribosomal RNA", at positions 28 to 523 of the family's 1533-position model. The record is from RNAcentral.